Molecule: ribosomal RNA, 119 nt
Organism: Cyprinus carpio (common carp)
Lineage: Eukaryota; Metazoa; Chordata; Actinopteri; Cypriniformes; Cyprinidae
Source: Ensembl
GCUUACGGCCAUACCACCCUGAGCGCGCCCGAUCUCGUCUGAUCUCGGAAGCUCAGCAGGGUCGGGCCUGGUUAGUACUUGGAUUUGAGAAUGCCUGAGAAUACCAGGUGCUGUAAGCU